Molecule: ribosomal RNA, 880 nt
Filed under: uncultured bacterium
Lineage: Bacteria
Description: bacterial SSU rRNA
Rfam family: Bacterial small subunit ribosomal RNA
Source: RNAcentral
AGAGUUUGAUCAUGGCUCAGGACGAACGCUGGCGGCGUGCUUAACACAUGCAAGUCGAACGAAGCCUUCGGGCUUAGUGGCGGACGGGUGAGUAACGCGUAGGUAAUCUGCCUCUCAAUGGGGGAUACCCAGCCGAAAGGUUGGCUAAUACCGCAUACGCUGGCGAGUUGUGAUACUCGUCAGGAAAGAUUUAUCGUUGAGAGAUGAGCCUGCGUCCGAUUAGCUAGUUGGUAGUGUAAUGGACUACCAAGGCGACGAUCGGUAGCUGGUCUGAGAGGACGAUCAGCCACACUGGAACUGAGACACGGUCCAGACUCCUACGGGAGGCAGCAGUGGGGAAUUUUCCGCAAUGGGCGAAAGCCUGACGGAGCAACGCCGCGUGGAUGAAGAAGUCCUUCGGGAUGUAAAGUCCUUUCAGCAGGGACGAGUCGAAGACGGUACCUGCAGAAGAAGCAUCGGCUAACUACGUGCCAGCAGCCGCGGUAAUACGUAGGAUGCAAGCGUUGUCCGGAAUUAUUGGGCGUAAAGCGUACGUAGGCGGUUUGUUAAGUCAGGGGUUAAAGACUGAGGCUCAACCUCAGGAGUGCCCUUGAUACUGGCAGGCUGGAGGACGGCAGAGGAAAGUGGAAUUCCCAGUGUAGCGGUGAAAUGCGUAGAUAUUGGGAGGAACACCAGUGGCGAAAGCGACUUUCUGGGCCGUUCCUGACGCUGAGGUACGAAAGCGUGGGGAGCAAACAGGAUUAGAUACCCUGGUAGUCCACGCCGUAAACGAUGGAUACUAGGUGUAGAGGGUAUCGACCCCCUCUAUGCCGUAGCUAACGCGUUAAGUAUCCCGCCUGGGGAGUACGGUCGCAAGGCUGAAACUCAAAUGAAUUGACGG